CCUACGGGUGGCAGCAGUGGGGAAUAUUGGACAAUGGGGGGAACCCUGAUCCAGCCAUGCCGCGUGUGUGAGGAAGGCCCUCGGGUUGUAAAGCACUUUCAGUGAGGAAGAACGCCUGGUGGUUAAUACCCAUCAGGAAAGACAUCACUCACAGAAGAAGCACCGGCUAACUCCGUGCCAGCAGCCGCGGUAAUACGGAGGGUGCGAGCGUUAAUCGGAAUUACUGGGCGUAAAGCGCGCGUAGGUGGCUUGAUAAGCCGGUUGUGAAAGCCCCGGGCUCAACCUGGGAACGGCAUCCGGAACUGUCAAGCUAGAGUGCAGGAGAGGAAGGUAGAAUUCCCGGUGUAGCGGUGAAAUGCGUAGAGAUCGGGAGGAAUACCAGUGGCGAAGGCGGCCUUCUGGACUGACACUGACACUGAGGUGCGAAAGCGUGGGUAGCAAACAGGAUUAGAUACCCCAGUAGUC
Molecule: ribosomal RNA, 465 nt
Filed under: Vreelandella stevensii
Lineage: Bacteria; Pseudomonadati; Pseudomonadota; Gammaproteobacteria; Oceanospirillales; Halomonadaceae
Description: partial 16S ribosomal RNA
Rfam family: Bacterial small subunit ribosomal RNA
Source: RNAcentral